Molecule: long non-coding RNA, 1199 nt
Organism: Microplitis mediator
Lineage: Eukaryota; Metazoa; Arthropoda; Insecta; Hymenoptera; Braconidae
Exons: 3
Source: RefSeq, a predicted model, not a curated record
ACAUUUUGUAUAUCGCGCUUCACCUCUAACUCACUCACUCACUCAGUCGCUCUUUUACAAACUCUUGUACUACUACUACUAUUAUCAGUAUCUUGUGCUUGGUAAGGGAUGAAACUUGGAUGAUAUUCUGUCAGAGUGAUAAACAAGGAAACAUAGCCCUGACUUGACUGACUGACUACUCGUUUUUCACAGCGCGCUUACAGCCAUAGGAGUAUCAAGAAAUAAAAUUGUAAAAAACAUAAAAUGAGAUGGAAAAGUCAGAUGCAUAAUAGUGAAGUAAAAAAACAAAAAAAAAGGAAAAAACGUGGAGAGAAAAGGGAAUUCCAUUUGGAAGAUUUAUGGUGACGGCAGCGAAUGUGCUUCCCAGUAGUAUAUUACGCACGUAACUUCAUGAUGCAUACAGGAUAGUGUCACGGGAAACCUGCUGUUGACCUGUUAUUGCUGCCAUCAAUAUAUAUAUACAUACAUAUAUAUAUAAAAACACUUUAAGCAGUAAUAACAGGAGCAACGACCAGCAAUGACGUUACAUAUAUAUGUUACCAGACAGCCAUUUUAUUUAUAUUCCUGUCUAUUAUUUAUUUAUUUAUCUUCAUUUAAUUGGAAGAUUAUUUCUACUUCAGUUAUUGGAUUUUCAUCAUGAAGGAAAUUAUUGUAAUACAUGAAUUAUAUUUUACAUCAGUUUUAAAUAAACAACUUACAGUGAAACAAAUUGAUAUGUAGAAGUUAGUGAUGCGAAAUAAAUAUAUUAAAUUAUUACAAUAAGCCAUUGUGAUAUUUAUUAUAUUUUUUAAAUAACUCCAAAGCUCAAUAGAAUAUUUAAUUAAAUUAAAUUGGAGUUAACAUUACAAACGAAUUGACUGAAAUAAUGUUUAUUAAUUAAAGCUUCAGUUAAGCAAAAGGCCAAGCAGUAGUAUCUACGAAUAAGAAGAUAGUAAUUUCAAGUGGAACAGACAUCAGCCACCAGCGAUUAUCGAUAUAUCAGAACAGUCGGCGUCGUGAUGUUGAACAAAAUAAGAAAUUAAUCAAAUAAAAUCGAAAAGUCGUCAGCAAAAAAAUAAAAUGAAUUGGAUAAUUUACUGGAAAAAUAAUUUACUUAUUCUAAACGUGCUCGAAGAUGAAACAUAAUCAAAUUGCAAUACGUUAAAUAAUAAAAGAAAUGAAGAAACGAUUUAUAAUUUAUAAUGGAAGAAUAAAAUGCA